UGAAUUCUGGGCGUUAAGGGCACGCAGGCGGUUAAUUAAGGUUGGAUGUGAAAUCCCCGGGCUUAACCUGGNAAUGGCAUUCAANACUGGCUUAGCGUAGAGAUCUUGUAGAGGGGGGUAGAAUUCCAUGUGUAGCGGAUGANAUGCGUAUCAGAUGUGGAGGAAUACCGGUGGCGAAGGCNNCCCCCUGGACAGANACUGACGCUCAUGUGCGAAAGCGUGGGGAGCAAACAGGAUUAGAUACCCUGGUACNCCA
This 256-nucleotide ribosomal RNA is filed under the name uncultured Arsenophonus sp. Its description in RNAcentral is "partial 16S ribosomal RNA". It matches the Rfam family "Bacterial small subunit ribosomal RNA", at positions 554 to 797 of the family's 1533-position model. Lineage: Bacteria; Pseudomonadati; Pseudomonadota; Gammaproteobacteria; Enterobacterales; Morganellaceae. The record is from RNAcentral.